RNAcentral lists this ribosomal RNA (866 nucleotides) under uncultured crenarchaeote. RNAcentral describes it as "bacterial SSU rRNA". It matches the Rfam family "Archaeal small subunit ribosomal RNA", at positions 1 to 872 of the family's 1478-position model. The record is from RNAcentral. Lineage: Archaea; Thermoproteati; Thermoproteota.
UUCCGGUUGAUCCUGCCGGACCUGACUGCUAUCSGAUUGGUACUAAGCCAUGUGAGUCAUUGUASCAAUACAAGGCAUACGGCUCAGUAACACGUAGUCAAUCUAACCUAUGGACGUGGAUAACCUCGGGAAACUGAGAAUAAUCCACGAUAGAUCAUUAAUCCUGGAACGGUUUAUGGUCCAAAUGAUUCGUCGCCGUAGGAUGGGACUGCGGCCUAUCAGCUUGUUGGUGAGGUAAUGGCCCACCAAGGCUAUUACAGGUACGGGCUCUGAGAGGAGAAGCCCGGAGAUGGGUACUGAGACACGGACCCACGGCCCUAUGGGGCGCAGCAGGCGAGAAAACCUUUGCAAUGUGCGCAAGCACGACAAGGUUAAUCCGAGUGUUUCCUGCUAAAGGAAUCUUUUGUUAGUUCUAAAACCACUGAUGAAUAAGGGGUGGGCAAGUUCUGGUGUCAGCCGCCGCGGUAAAACCAGCACCUCAAGUGGUCAGGAGGAUUAUUGGGCCUAAAGCAUCCGUAGCCGGKUCUAUAAGUUCCCGGUUAAAUCCACUAGCUCAACUAGUGGGCUGCCGGAAAUACUGUAGAACUAGGGAGUGGGAGAGGUAGACGGUACUCGGUAGGAAGGGGUAAAAUCCUUUGAUCUAUUGAUGACCACCUGUGGCGAAGGCGGUCUACCAGAACACGUUCGACGGUGAGGGAUGAAAGCUGGGGGAGCAAACCGGAUUAGAUACCCGGGUAGUCCCAGCUGUAAACGAUGCAGACUCGGUGAUGCCCUGGCUUGUGGCCAGUGCAGUGCCGCAGGGAAGCCGUUAAGUUUGCCGCCUGGGAAGUACGUACGCAAGUAUGAAACUUAAAGGAAUUGGCGGG